RNAcentral lists this ribosomal RNA (497 nucleotides) under uncultured bacterium. RNAcentral's name for it is "partial 16S ribosomal RNA". It matches the Rfam family "Bacterial small subunit ribosomal RNA", at positions 28 to 507 of the family's 1533-position model. The record is from RNAcentral.
GAUGAACGCUGGCGGCGUGCCUAAUACAUGCAAGUCGAGCGAACAGAUGAGGAGCUUGCUCCUCUGACGUUAGCGGCGGACGGGUGAGUAACACGUGGAUAACCGACCUAUAAGACUGGGAUAACUUCGGGAAACCGGAGCUAAUACCGGAUAAUAUAUUGAACCGCAUGGUUCAAUAGUGAAAGACGGUUUUGCUGUCACUUAUAGAUGGAUCCGCGCCGCAUUAGCUAGUUGGUAAGGUAACGGCUUACCAAGGCAACGAUGCGUAGCCGACCUGAGAGGGUGAUCAGCCACACUGGAACUGAGACACGGUCCAGACUCCUACGGGAGGCAGCAGUAGGGAAUCUUCCGCAAUGGGCGAAAGCCUGACGGAGCAACGCCGCGUGAGUGAUGAAGGUCUUCGGAUCGUAAAACUCUGUUAUUAGGGAAGAACAAAUGUGUAAGUAACUAUGCACGUCUUGACGGUACCUAAUCAGAAAGCCACGGCUAACUACGUG